This 73-nucleotide transfer RNA is filed under the name Candidatus Saccharimonadota bacterium. RNAcentral's name for it is "tRNA-Thr". It matches the Rfam family "tRNA". Rfam says of the family: Transfer RNA (tRNA) molecules are approximately 80 nucleotides in length. Their secondary structure includes four short double-helical elements and three loops (D, anti-codon, and T loops). Lineage: Bacteria; Candidatus Saccharimonadota. The record is from RNAcentral.
UGUCUGUUGGCGUAACUGGCUAGCGUACCUCUCUUGUAAGGAGGAGGAUAGGGUUCGAGUCCCUGACGGACAU